This 145-nucleotide ribosomal RNA is filed under the name uncultured eukaryote. RNAcentral describes it as "partial small subunit ribosomal RNA". It matches the Rfam family "Eukaryotic small subunit ribosomal RNA", at positions 1296 to 1461 of the family's 1831-position model. The record is from RNAcentral.
AGUUGGUGGAGUGAUUUGUCUGGUUAAUUCCGUUAACGAACGAGACCGUAGCCUGCUAAAUAGUUCCGCGAACUUCUUGUUGGCGGUCGACUUCUUAGAGGGACAACUUGUGACCAACAAGUGGAAGUUUGCGGCAAUAACAGGU